UGCCAGACUCCUACGGGAGGCAGCAGUGAGGAAUAUUGGUCAAUGGGCGAGAGCCUGAACCAGCCAAGUCGCGUGAGGGAAGACGGUCCUAUGGAUUGUAAACCUCUUUUGCCGGGGAGCAAAAAGCGGUACGUGUACCGCAUCGAGAGUACCCGGAGAAAAAGCAUCGGCUAACUCCGUGCCAGCAGCCGCGGUAAUACGGAGGAUGCGAGCGUUAUCCGGAUUUAUUGGGUUUAAAGGGUGCGUAGGCGGUUUUUUAAGUUAGUGGUUAAACGUCGGGGCUUCACCUUGAUUUGCCAUUAAUACUGUAAGACUCGAGUUCAGACGAGGUAGGCGGAAUAAGUUAAGUAGCGGUGAAAUGCUUAGAUAUAACUUAGAACUCCGAUAGCGAAGGCAGCUUACCAGGCUGCGACUGACGCUGAAGCACGAGAGCGUGGGUAGCGAACAGGAUUAGAUACCCUCGUAUAU
RNAcentral lists this ribosomal RNA (468 nucleotides) under uncultured bacterium. RNAcentral's name for it is "bacterial SSU rRNA". It matches the Rfam family "Bacterial small subunit ribosomal RNA", at positions 329 to 794 of the family's 1533-position model. The record is from RNAcentral.